Long non-coding RNA from Daktulosphaira vitifoliae (grape phylloxera), 1462 nucleotides. RefSeq lists it as uncharacterized. NCBI's taxonomy places the organism in Eukaryota, Metazoa, Arthropoda, Insecta, Hemiptera, Phylloxeridae. The record is from RefSeq and is a predicted model, not a curated record. The transcript has 3 exons.
AUAUUUUCUUUAGAAAUUUAUUUUUUUAUUUUUACAAAAAUGUAAUUUAUUAUUAAAGUUAUUAAAUUAUUUUGAAUCACAAAUUUAAAUUAUGUUUCACCACUAGUUAUCGUGGUUAGUCUGUAUGAAUAAACAUUAGGAAAAGAAAAGUCUCACUUUAAAAUGAAAAUUCCUCUCGUUUAAUUCAUAACCCGACAUAAUAUUGCCAUAGUAUUUAUUAUUAAAUUAUUAAUAUUUAUUAUUAAACCCAACCCAACCUUUGUAGUUACCAAUUCGUUCACGUUUUUAGCAUUUCAACACAUUCACAUAUUUCACUACUCACUUUCAUUAUUCACCAUUCAUCUACUCUAUUUUACAGCUAAUUAUUUAAUUGUUUGUUUUAUAUUUGUAUUAUUUUUUUCAUAGCCCAUUAAGUCUACCAUUUUAGUAAUAUGGGCACCCCUUAAUUUUAAUUUUCUUAUAGUAGAAUUUUUAUAUAUUUGUUUUAUGAUCAAUUUAAUUAUUGUCUAAUGUCGUAACACAGCAAAAAUGAUAAAAAAAGGUAAAAGUAUAAAAUGUGUAACUAUGUGUACGAAGAUGAAUAUGAGGAGGUGGUGCCUGCUGUCUAGGUAUUCACGUGCGUGUUGUCGUACAGCAGUCACCGUGCUCGGCUGACACUCCGGGUUAGCUGUGGGUGUCGAAAGGCUGUUGUUAUAGGAAGGGAGAAUAAGAGUAACACCUAGGUAUGAGGUGCAGACGAAGUGCAAGACACAAAUACUUGGGGUAUAGGAGAGGACAAUGAAGUACGAGGUGCAGACGAAGUGCAAGACACAAAUACUGGGCGUACCAGAUAAGGAGUAUAACAAAGUACGAGGUGCAGACGAAGUGCAAGACACAAGUACUUUAGUUAUUAGGAGAGGAUAAUGAAGUACGAGGUGUUGAAGAAGCGCAAGACACAAGUACUCUGAAAUGUCGAGGAAAAGAGUAUAUAGGUUAGAAAAGGAAUAAACAAUGACUUUAUUUUAAACAGUAAGCCGGACAGCGACAACCGAGUACUGAGACUGAUGAAUGACACAAGGCACUGGAGUCGACUGACCACGAUGGUCAGGUCUAUUGGGUUUUUAUAAUAAUUAGAACUAUUGCCAAUUUGGCAAUAAAUAUUAUUUGUUAAUUCAUCAGUCUCAGGCAGCGGAUGUGCUGUCUGUAUUUUAUUAAAAUAAUUCUCACGAUUAUGAAAACGUGACACCAUCACACUAAAAAUCAUAUAAUUUAGGAUAAAUUUGAACAAAUCAUAUUGAAGUUUGGCAAAUUUACUUCCUAAUACUUGACCCGACAUAAUAUUGCUGAAUAUUUAUUCAUAGUAUUUAAUAUUUAAUGCUUAACACAUAUUUUUAUAAAAUUGUUUAUAAAUAUUAUCAGAGCUGUAGUAUAUUUCUAUUUCUAUUAUUAUUACCUUAUAAUUGGUUUGAGUUGUUUGAAAUCC